Molecule: ribosomal RNA, 808 nt
Filed under: uncultured bacterium
Lineage: Bacteria
Description: bacterial SSU rRNA
Rfam family: Bacterial small subunit ribosomal RNA
Source: RNAcentral
UGAUUAUGGCUCAGGAUGAACGCUAGCGGCAGGCUUAAUACAUGCAAGUCGAGGGGCAGCAGGGGUAGCAAUACUCGCUGGCGACCGGCAAACGGGUGAGGAACAUGUACGCAACCUUCCUUUAACUGGAGGAUAGCCCCUCGAAAGAGGGAUUAAUACUCCGUAACAUAAUGAAGUGGCAUCACUUUAUUAUUAUAGCUCCGGCGGUUAAAGAUGGGCGUGCAACUGAUUAGAUAGUUGGCGGGGUAACGGCCCACCAAGUCUGCGAUCAGUAACUGGUGUGAGAGCACGACCAGUCACACGGGCACUGAGACACGGGCCCGACUCCUACGGGAGGCAGCAGUAAGGAAUAUUGGUCAAUGGACGCAAGUCUGAACCAGCCAUGCCGCGUGGAGGAUUAAGGCCCUCUGGGUUGUAAACUCCUUUUAUCUGGGAAGAAAUGUGUUUUUUCUAAGACACUUGACGGUACCAGAGGAAUAAGCACCGGCUAACUCCGUGCCAGCAGCCGCGGUAAUACGGAGGGUGCAAGCGUUAUCCGGAUUCACUGGGUUUAAAGGGUGCGUAGGCGGGCAGAUAAGUCAGUGGUGAAAUCUUCGAGCUUAACUCGGAAACUGCCGUUGAUACUAUUUGUCUUGAAUAUUGUGGAGGUAAGCGGAAUAUGUCAUGUAGCGGUGAAAUGCUUAGAUAUGACAUAGACACAUUGCGACGCAGCUACUACACAAUGAUGACGCUGAGCACGAAGCGUGGGGAUCAACAAGAUAGAUACCUGGUAGUCACGCCUAACGAUGAUUACUCGACAUACGCGAUA